CGACCCCAGGUCAGGCGGGGUUACCUGCUGAAUUUAAGCAUAUCAAUAAGCGGAGGA
This 57-nucleotide ribosomal RNA is filed under the name Rubus sanctus. Its description in RNAcentral is "partial 26S ribosomal RNA". Lineage: Eukaryota; Viridiplantae; Streptophyta; Magnoliopsida; Rosales; Rosaceae. The record is from RNAcentral.